Molecule: long non-coding RNA, 12149 nt
Filed under: Homo sapiens (human)
Lineage: Eukaryota; Metazoa; Chordata; Mammalia; Primates; Hominidae
Description: non-protein coding NCK1-DT:34
Source: RNAcentral
AGAGGGUGAGAAGCGCUGGGCCGGACCAGAACUGUCUUAGCUUUUCCCUCUGCGGCUGCUCUGGUUGGUUACUUUGAGCCUGCCUCCUCAGCGCCGCAGGAGAGACUUAACAGCAAAAAUGACUGUGUCCUGAGUUCAGCCCCCACUGCUCUGGGAGCUUCCCCCUGGUUUCUGCACCUGAAGAAUGUCAUCCCAGCCGAAGGUUCUUAGGAGCGGGGAGCGACAAAGAAAAACAAAGAAAAGCAGACCUGAAAAUUGGGACCUGGGAGAAAUGUAAGACAUGUGCUUAAUUUGAGGCACAGACCAAAAGAAGCUGAGUCUGAGGGCCCUCUAAAAGUGUCCUCGUGCUUGGGCAGCUUACAUUCUUGGCGGCAGUAGUGUUAUGAAGAGGACCUUCGGAGCCAGGUCUGUCCAUUCUUAGGGCUCCAGCCACUGGCUGAGGCAUCAGUAAGUUGGUUCUUCCCCUCGCCGGUGCUGCAGGCCCCCUUCCCCGCCCCCGCGCCGUAACCUGCCUCUUUUUUUUUUUUUUUUGAAACGAGUUUCGCUCUGUCGCCAGGGUGGAGUGCAGUGGCACGAUCUCGGCUCACUGCAACCUCCGCCUCCGGGUUCAAGCUAUUCUCCUGCCUCAGCCUCCCGAGUAGCUGGGAUUACAGGCAUGUACCACCACGCCCAGCUAAUGUUUUUGUAUUUUUAGCAGUGACGGGGUUUCACCAGGAUGGUCUCGAUCUCUUGACCUCGUGAUUCGCCAGCCUCGGCCUCCCAAAGUGCUGGGAUUACAGGCGUGAGCCACCACGCCCAGCCGCCUCAUCUCUUCUUAACCAUCUUUGUGGCACAGUUUAGGAUCGCUCCUCAGGGAAGCUUGCUCAGUUAGGUACCUUCCUUGGAGCACAGGUGUUUUCUCCAUCCGAGCUAUUGAAAUGGUUUGCCUGUAUGUCUACCUAGAUUGUAAACUCCGUUGAAUCAGUAACCAUGUCUGUUCAGUUUCUCCCUAGGGCCUUGCAGUAGGGUAGAUGGUCAGUAAAUACUGUUUAAGGCAUUAAUACUUUUUAUUUUAAUCCUGGCCCUGGAUAUCAGCCUCAAAAGUUUGCAGUUUUCUGCAUUUAACUUCAAAAUUAUUUACGUGAUUGGUAAUGCAUGCAUGUGGUUGGCCUGUGCUGUAAUUUAGAUGUUUGUUCCCCUAAACCUCCUGUUGAAAUUUGAUCCCCAAUGUUGGAGGUGGGGACUAAUGGGCAGUGUUGGGUCAUGGAGGUGGUUCCUUCAGGAAUAGAUUAAUGUCCUCCCUGGGGAGAGGGUAAAUGAGUUCUCUUUAUUUCCACCAGAGCUGGUUAAAAAGAACGUCGCACUUCCUUUCUUCUUUUGCGUCCUCUCUGGCCAUGUAAUCUCUGCACACACCAGCUCUCCUUUGCCUUCUGGCAUGAGUAGAAGCAGUCUUAGGCUACCAUCAGAUGCAGAUGCUCAGUCUUGAACUUUUCCAGACAUCAGAACCAUAAGCCGAAAAACCUUUUCUAUUUCUAAAUUAUCCAGCUUUGGGUAUUCCUUUCUAGCAACACUAAAGGGACUAAGACAGCCUGCCAUAUGUAGGAUCACAAGGUCAAGCACAAAUUUACCUAUUUAUGCUGUACUAUCCUCAGGUUGACUGGGACAAGUAGACCAUGAAACUGGGCAACAGCUACUCUAUGUCUACAUUCUGUUAUUAGCAUCCAAAGUGAAUAAUGGCGGUGAAUUUUGAGUUUAUUCUAAGGGUUUAAAUAACUGCAUAUUUUAUCAUGACUGGUAUGGACUGAAUUGCAUCCCCCCCAAAAAUUCAUACUGAAGCCCUCACUCCUAAUGUGACUAUAUAAAUGUUCCUUAACUUACAAAGGGGUUAUGUUCCAAUAAACCCACCAUAAACUGAAAAUACCUUAAGUUGAAAAGAUCUUAAGUCAGAAAUGCAUUUAAUGCUUCUAACCUACCAAACAUCAUAGCUUAGAGUAGCCUACCUAAAACAUGCUCAGAAUACUUACAUUAGCUUUCAGUUAGGCAAAAUCAUCUAAUACAAAGCUUAUUUUUUAAUAAAGUAUUGAGUAUUUCAUGUAAUCUACUAAAUACUGAAUGAAAAACUGGAUGGUUUUAUGGGUACUCAAAGUACAGAUUCUAGAGUGCAUAUGGCUUUUGGACCAUCAUAAAGUCAAAAAAAUCUUAAGUCAGGGACCAUCUCUAGUUGGAGCUAGGCCUUUAGGGAGGUAAUAAAAAUUAAAUUAGGUCAUAAGGGUGGGGCCCUAAUCCCAUAAGAUUAAUGUCUUUAUAGAAAGUGGCACCAGAGAGCUCUCUCCAUUUGAGAACACAGCAAGCAGACAGACAUCUGCAAGCCAGAGAGAGAGCCCUCACCCAAAACUGACCAUGCUGGCACCCUCUUUUGGACCUCCCAACCUACAUAACUUUGAAAAAAUAAACUUCUGUUGUGUAAGCCACCCAAUCUAGUAUUUUAUUAUGGCAGCCCAAGCUAAUACAAUGGUUUUAUUUGUUGAUACAUUUUAUAAAGUUUACAGACUGAGAUAUUAUAUUCAUUUUUGAAGAAACUUGUCCAGAGUUAAAACUGUUGCUGCAAAAUCACCCAUCAAACUGUUAGCACAGCGUGACUCAAUUUUAAUUCUAAUUACAUAUUUAACAUACGAUGGAGGCAGAAGGUGUGAAUAUAAAUACAACAGGUAAAAUACAGAAAUACAGUUCUUGCCUUCAUGUAGCUUACCACCACCUUAAGUGGGGAAAAUUAACCCAGCAAAAAGUAUGCUGAAGUCAUACAUUUAGGGUUUUUGUUUGUUUGUUUGUUUUUUGAGAUGGAGUCUCGCUUUUUUGCCCAGGUUGGAGUGCAGUGGCACCACCUCAGCUUAUUGCAACCUCCACCUCCCGGGUUCAAGCAAUUCUCCUGCCUCAGCCUCCCAAGUUGCUGGGACUACAGGCACACACCACCACACCUGGCUAAUUUUUUGUAUUUUUAGUAGAGACGGGGUUUCACAAUGUUGGCCAGGCUUGUCUCAAACCCCUGACCUCAGGUGAUCCACCCACCUCAGCCUCCCAAAGUGUUGGGAUUACAGGCGUGAGCCACAGCACCCAGCUAGUUUAUCCUCUUAAUUUUCCUUCUUUAAUCUUUCUCAUCACUCAUUCUUAACAGGAACUCUUUAAAAAAAUUUAAGAAACCUCCAAAAAUAUAUGCAAAAGAGGAGUCAAAGAAGAAAAAUAAGCAAACAGCAAUGAAAAAGGAAAGCAUAGACUGGAAGGGCAGAUAGGCAGAAAGGCAUGUAUGUAAUUGCACUUAGAAGGGAUGCAGUACAUGUUUUAAUGGGGUGGGAGCUGUCCCAGAGACUUCCUUUCACACAGUCUGUCUCCCCAGCUUCCAAAUAUAAACAUGCACAUGGCUGCUGCUUCCUCUCUUUCAGGGGAACUCAAACCAAAAACAGGAAUCAUCCUUGCUAAUUAGUGCUGAGUGGAUCAGGGACUAACCAGAAUCAGGCAACAAGAAAAUGUAAGUCAAAACUUAUGAUCAGCCCUGGCAACAGAGCUAGACCCUGUCUCUACAAAACAAAAUUUUUUUUAAUCAGCUGGGCAUAGUGGCAUGUGCCUGUAGUCCCAGCCACUCUGGAGGCUGAGGUGGGAGGAUGGCUUGAGCCCAGGAAUUUGAGGCUGCAAUGAGCUAUGAUCACACCACAUCUCAAAACAAAAACAAAACUUAUCUAGGGACUACACGUGGAGCUUUGGAUAUGGGCAGCUAAUCUGUCUAUGAUUAAAAACACGCAGGUGGCUUACUUUAUUAAUCCAAAAUAAAAGAAUUUGGGAACACAAGAAAGGGAAAAAUGAGCCUCCAUGUCAAGACCUUUCCCAGAAACCUGAUAGCUUAUAGUUAGAAAUUGUUAUAGACAGUCCAGUGCAAGGAGGACAUUAAGCCACAGGGGAAAGGAGUUGUGUGGCCAGGUUAGUCAGGCAAUUAACUAGAAAAAAUCUGUCCACAUAGAGGAGCCUGCAUAAUAAAAAGGUAUUAAACGAUAGUAGAAUAUUGCUAGAGCAGAAGAUAGCUAGAAAUAUAAUCAAUAACCAGGUUAUGGAAGUCAGGCACCUUAGAGUUUAUCCUAUAGGCAAUGAGAAGCCAUUCAAAGGGUUUUUGUUUUUGUUUUCAGCACUUUAAAGAUGUCAUUCUCGUUUUCCAGCCUCCAUUAUAUCUGUGAGAAACUAGUUGUAAUUCUUAUCAUUGUUUUCUUGUAUGUCUUAUGCCUUUUUCUAUGAAUGCUUUUAAGAUUUUGUUUAUAUUUAUCAAAAGUUAACACUGAUGUUUCUAGGUGUCUUUUUCUAUGAAUGCUUAUAAGAUUUUCAUUAUAUUUAUCAAAAGUUACACUGUGAUGUUUCAUUACACUGUGAUGUUUCAUUACACUGUGAUGUUUGUUUUGGUUUUGGUUUUGUAUUUAUCCUGCUUGGGGUUCAUUUCAUUCCCUGGGUCUGUGGAUUGCUGGUUUCUCAUUUUCUUUUCUUUUCUUUUUUUUUUUUUAUCAAAUUUGGAAGACUUUUGUCCAGUAUUUCUUCAAAUUUUUUUUUCUGUCCCAUUCUGUUUCUCCUCUUCUUCUGGGACUACAAUUACACUCAUGCUAGACUUCUCAGUACUUAGUACAGGUCAUUCAGGCUCUGUUCAUUCUUUUUUCAGUUUGUAUAAUUUCUAUUGAGAGCCACUGUCUAGUAAUCCCUGAAAAAAUCUAAAUGUUGACAUUUUCCCAAAGCACAGUACCCUGCUGAUGGCUGUAGUUUCCUUUGGGGAAGGUUUAGAGAUAUGUUAGUCAGGAAAUCAGAAAUUAGAUGAUAUUACUACAGAGAGGAUUUAGUAUUGAGUUUUCAUUGACUGAAAAAGCAAAAACGGAACACUGAGGUUACCCAGAGGUGAUAACUGCAGGGAGCAGCUGUCAAUGAUAGAUCUAGUGAAAAUGGGGACUCAAGGUGGAUUAUCAGGUCUCAGAAACUCAGACAAAUGACCUGGCUGAGUAUUGCUCAGACCCCUGAGAGGAUGCUGUCUGGCUGAUCCUACUACUUCAGGGAAGGAUAUGAUGAGGCUAGUUGUGGAUGGGGAGGAUGUCAAAAGAAGCUCAAGGCUGAAAUCAAUUGCUGCUGCUGGAGCAAAGGGCUCUUGCUUGUUGCUGGGAUAACAGUGACAGAAACUGCAAACAAAUGGAAAGGAGGAAGUCCCUUCUUCCCUUCUGCCUUCCAGUCUCCCUCUAAUGCCCUUUAUUGAUGGAACCUAGUGAGACACCAGCUGACAUAGAAAAAAAUGUAGUUUGCAGGGUUUGAGCCACAGCAUUACAGAGAAAUGUAUAGAAGGGGGAAUGUGGACCUGAGACAAUAGUUUAAUAAACAGUACCAUAUCAUUUAUUUGUGCUAAAUUGGUAAGAAUGGCCAAAAUUAGACUUAAUGCCAUCAUAUGUGCUUUUACAGACUUUUAGACCUUUUUGAAAAGAAUCUCAGGAUACCAUGUCAAUUUUCUGCUACAUUAUGAUUACUGUUGGUGCCUUUUUCAGGAGUAAGGAGUACUUUUACUGCAGCUCACACAUACACUAGCCACAAAAUCAUAAACAAGGGCAGCCUUGGAAGAGAUCUACAUAACUGAGGAUAAGCAGACCCUACCCCAACGUUAGGUCUCCAAACAUCAGGGACAAAAUGGCAUGGGCUAGGUAGGACUGGCAAGAAUCCACACUUCUCCCUAUUUCUAUUUCCUAUGUAUCGCCUAAUGUGCUCAUAAUAAGGAGAAAACCAAUUUCCUGUUCUAACUUUGGACAGCCACCCAUUGUCAUUAAAAAACCACUUAUUUUCCCUUCUUUCCUCUUUUCUUGCCUCAACCCAGGCUCCUUUACCCAGCCCUAUGACUUCUAGUUUUCUAAUGCAAGUAGAUGACAAAACAGGGUUUGGUGUUCAACAUUUCACCUUAUAGUGUAUUUUUCACAAAUGAAGGAGUUUUGUUGAACAUUUGUAGAACAUUUCUAAUUUUUGAACUUCAGUUCCAUCUGAAAGGGGUCAUUUCUUUGAGUCUUCUAUUAUUUAGUAAUAGCAGUUAACAUUCUCCUUCUACUACAAUUUACCUGGAAAGACACCCAUAAAUACCAAUAAAGAUACCAGAUUCAUAACGUAUUUCAUAUAUUUAAUAUUUGUAUUUGAAUAUAUUAGACUAGAAUAAAUUUUCUGCAUUUGUAUAUAUUAUAUAUUUUAUAGCACUCUGUCAGUUAUAUAACACAAAAGACAUUCAUAGGUAAACAUUAAAAUGGCAGUAUACAUAAUAACUGAACAUUAAUGAGACAAUAAUAAUCAGGUAUUCAUUUAAUGGGAGAGUCUAGUAUUUCCUGGUAGUCCUGCUUUCUUAAAUUCCUCCAGUAAAGUUUAUAGCCAGCAAGGACAAAAACACUAAUCAUAAUGAUUACCCCUCCAAAAACAUCAUAGAUGCUAGGAAAUAUGUGCAGCACGAGAAGCUGCAAGACCAUAGCUACCACAAUCUCCAAAUGUUGUACUGUGCUAACCAAAGCUGGAUGGAAUUUGUCCAAGGCAUAAUAAACUCCUAAGAAUGCUGCAGUAGAACAGACACAUAUAGCAAUGAGAUAACUCCAGGUUUCUCCAUCUAAUGGGAUGAUGGGUUCUUGAAGAAUAAACAUAGUAGAUAUUCCCCAAAUUGUCCCAGUCCAACCAAAAGUAAACAGUGCAGUCCACAUGCUGAUCUUCUCCUUGAUGGAUCUGUAUACUAUCAUUGAGAGAGCAGUGGUCAGUCCAGCCAUCACAGUCAUGGUGUACCCAAAGGCUUCUUUCCAGGCAUUUAACAAAGAAUUGUCUUCAUCAACAAUGUUUGGGAUCAUGACAAGACAAACACCUAAGAUGCUGCAAACAACUGUAGCCAUGUCAACAUAAGCCAUUUUCUCAUCUACGAGUAAAAAAGCCAAAAUGGCACUGAAGACUGUAGUUGUGGCUCUCCACAUAGUGGUCCCAUUGCUGGGAGGAACUAUUGAAAAUGAUGUAUAAGCACAAGUGAUAGAAAUGACAUUGCAUACACCAUAAAAGAAGAGUCGUAAUCUGUAUCCACUGGGUCCAAAGGGGGCCUCCUGAUAGUAACACACAACUAACACAGAUAAGACCUGAAAAACAGAACGGAUAAAAAUCAGUUCUAGAGAUGGAACUUUAGACCGAUCAGAAACAAGCCUAGUGAUAAGAGCUACACAUCCAUGAGCCAAAGCAGAUCCAAACAGCACUAUCCACAUUUUUCGGGAUUGAAAAAUGUUUUUUUCUGCAAAGCUCUGGAAUUGUCCAAUCUCAUUGAUCAUUGGGUCUUCUGUUGGUGGAGGUAGGGUAUCCAUGGUUCCAAAGAAAGCUCUCCCUUUUUUUUUCAUUUCACUCAGCAGACCUUUCUUUGGAUUUUCCUCCAUAAAAUUUCCAUAGCCUUCAUUGAUUUCUUCAUAUCCAUCAUCGCCAGGCUGGGGAUAAUGAGAAGUAUAUUUCACCAUCACUGUGUUGGGAUGUAUUUUCACCCGUUUUUUAACUGGAUAUUUUCUGGAGGGAGAAGUAUCCAUUUCUUCAGAUAAUCAAUUCUAUUUAAAGAAAAAAAUUGACAAAAAGACAUUCAUUUCAUUGAAAAUUUAAUUUCUAUUAUAAUCAUAUGCAUCAAUUCAAUGAUAGAAAGUAGAGGCUGUAACAGUAGUCCAGAAAAAAAAGAAAUUAGAGAUGAUCUGGCAAUAUGCCUUAUCAGAUGUAUGGUACCUACUGGAAUUGUUUACCCUUUUUUCACUCUCAUCUGAAGUCUGUCUCCAUUUCUCUUUGCUUACUUGUUUAAUUCAGCUCUAUCUUCUAUCUUUAUACCACAAACGGAUUUUUCCAUCUUUUCAUUCCUACCUGUUUCUCCACCUAUCCAACAAGCAAAACACAGAAAGAUAAAUAAUAACUUAGGUCAAACCUUUCCUUCUCAUUGGGUCCAUUUGCCUGUUAUAAAUUAUUAGUUAAGUCCAAAGUAUUUUGUAUAAUCAAUUCUGUAUAAUACCAGAAUUCACCUUAUAAAUUAUAGUGAUUUUUAAACAUUUAUUCUGGACUCCCCAUAAGUUUUGAGAUAUAAAAAUACACUGAAAUUAGAACAUAAAUAACAUGAAUUUAGUAACACUCAUGCAUUGUUGGUAGAAAGGUUAAAUUGUACAACCUCUCUCGUGAACAGUUGGACCAUAUGUAUUAAGAUUUUAACUAUCCUCUACUCAGCAAUACCACUUUUAAGAUUUUAUGCUAAAGAGAUGAUCACAAGAUGCUUUUUACAUUCUGAAUAAAAAAGGGGGGGAAUAAGAAUACGUAUUUAUAUUUGUUUACAUAACAAAGAAAUUAUAUAAAGAUGCCAAGAAAACUAAUGGUGGUUCAGGUGACAGGAGGAACAAGAAUGGAAGAAAACCUUUUUGUUAUUUAUUUUUUUACAUUUUUAUUUUUGAAUUGUGAUAUUAUCCAAAAAUAGAAUUAAAAUGUUUAUCUGUUACUUAAGAAAAAGAAUAUACCAAAAAAUGUGGGGAAAAUGUACAUACAGGAGAGUUCAUUGUAGCUUACUACAAUGAAUGUUCAUACAAUGGAAUACUAUGCUAUCUAUUAAAAAUGACAGUGUAGGCACGGUGGCUCACACCUGUAAUCCCAGCAUUUUGGGAGGCUGAGGCGGGCGGAUCACUUGAGGCCAGAAGUUUGAGAGGAGUUGGCCAGCCUGGCCAACAUGGUGAAAUGCCAUUUCUACUAAAAAUACUAAAUUUAGCCGGGCCUGGUGGUAUGUGUCUGUAAUUCCAGCUACUCGGGAGGCUGAGGCAUGAGAAUCACUUGAAUUCAGGAAGCAGAGGUUGCAGUGAGCCAAGAUUGUGCUACUGCACUCCAGCCUGGGUGACAGAGCGAGACUCUGUCUCAAAACAAAACAAAACAAAAACGAUGUCCACUAUAUAAUGUCAAGUGGGAAAAAAAGUUGAACUUACUGUAAGAAUUAAAUAAAAUAAUGCAUAUAAACAAUUUGCCACAGUGCUGGCAUAUAGUAAACUCUCAAUAAAUGUUAGCAAUAAAUUUGGCUUCCUUUCACCUAUAACAACUUUAUGAAACACUGGGUAUCUUCUACAAUAUUAUUAUUUCUUUUAGACCUUUAUUUUUUCACUUGGUUCUUUCUUUCCUUCCUUUCAACAAUUUCCUAUUUCCCUCCCAAUGAUCCUCUCCUCCCGCUUAAAAAACAAAAAAGAGACCAGGCACGCUGGCUCAUGCCUGUAAUCCCAGCACUUUGGGAGGCCGAGGUAGGCAGAUCACCUGAGGUCAGGAGUUCGAGACCUGCCUGGCCAACAUGGUAAAAUCCUGUCUCUACUAAAAAUGCAAAAAUUAGCUGGGAAUGGUGGCAGGUGCCUGUAAUCCCAGCUACUCAGGAGGCUGAGGUAGGAGAACUGCUUGAACCCAGGAGACGGAGGUUGCAGUGAGCCAAGAUUGUGCCACUGCACUCCAGCAUCAGCAACAGAGCAAGACUCCAUCUCAAAAAAAAAAAAAGAAAAAGAAAAAAAAUCUUUUUUUUUCUUCCUCGUGACUCCCUGAUUUCUUGCCAAAAACUCAUCGGUUCCAGGAUCUUAAACAAUGGCCCAGAAAUAAAAUCUCAUUUUGUUCUUCGACACCAUCUGGGGAGCUAACUGUUCUAUUCCUAUUUACUCCUUUCUUUUCUAAAAGGCACCACCUUCAGCUGGAAGAAGUCAUGAAAAAAAUAUCACCUGUGCCUCCAAACCCUUCUAUUUCCUAGCCUGGAUGUCCCAUUUGCAGUCCUUCUUCCUGCACACCACUAUCAGGCUAAUCUGACUGUUCUUUAUUUCCAACUUUUGCCAGGACAUGUCAAAUCAUAGCUUCAACAAUCCCAAACUGAAUAGUCUUGUUCUCCCAAAUAGAUUUUUUUCCCUAAUGUCCUCAUUUAUGUCUGUGAUACCACAAUUUUUCCAGUUCCCCAAGCUAGAAAUCAGGGAAUACUGUGAAUUAUCUUUUCUGCCAUCUUACUUGCAUUUGGUCACUAAUCUUACUGUUUUUGUCUUUGAAAUAUUCCUGUUUUUCCCUUUCUCCUCCAAUUCUAUGUAACUUUUAUAAUUGUGGUUUGGGUUAUUGUGAAUUCCCAUCUAGAAUAUUGCAACAGCAUCCUAACUAGCCUCCCUUGAAUCCCAGUCCCUCUCUAAAAUUUAUAUUAUCCCACUGUCACAUUGCUCUUCCUUUAAAAGACUCAAAACAAAAACAAAAACUUCUCAAGCUUUCCCCAUUCAAGAACCUACAGUGAUUUCCUAUCUCUACCUUAUCAAAUUUCAACUCCUCUGCCAGGCUCUCAAUACCCUGGCUAAUCUAGCUCCUAUCAGUACUUAGGUCUUCAACACGCCUACCUUGCUCUGAGCAGUCAGUCCAGUGUCUUCCCUGUCCUCAUUCUCCAUAUAUACCCUAAGCUUUUAUUCUCACCAGUUUCCCUUCUGCUCCAACUUUGUAAACACUGUUCAUCUUUUUUUUUUUUUUUUUUUUUUUUUGAGACGGAGUCUCACUCUUCGCCCAGGCUGGAGCGCAGUGGCACAAUCUCGGCUCACUGCAAGCUCCACCUCCCGGGUUCACACCAUUCUCCUGCCUCAGCCUCCCGAGUAGCUGGGAACUACAGGCUCCCGCCACCACGCCCGGCUAAUUUUUUGUAUUUUUUUUAGUGGAGACAGGGUUUCACCGUAUUAGCCAGGACGGUCUCGAUCUCCUGACCUUGUGAUCUGCCCACCUCGGCCUCCCAAAGUGCUGGGAUUACAGGCGUGAGCCACCGCGCCCGGCCAACAUUGUUCAUCUUUAAAGGCCCAGUACAAAUUCUGUCUUUUAGAGACAGGCCUUUCCUCACCUCUAGCCACUUGUGUAUUUUUCUUCCUUGUUUAAACAUCUGCAGUAGUACUUCUAACCUAAUAUUUUGUAAUCUAAUAAUUUUGUAACCUAGCUGUCUCAACUCAGUGGAAUUUUGUUUCUAGUCACUGUGCCCAAAUUUGGUAUGUCAAAUAAUAAUUAUUUUGAGACAGGGUCUCACUCCGUUGCGCAGGCUGGAGUGCAGUGGCGUGAUCACUGCUCACUGCAGCCUCGACCUCCAGGGCUCAAGCAAUCCUCCCACCUCAGCCUCAGCUAAGACACUUGUACACCACCCCUCCUGGCUGUUUUUUACACUUUCUGUAGAGACAGGGUUUUGCCAUGUUGCCCACGAUGGUCUCAAACUCCUGGGUUCAAGCAAUAAGCAUGCCUCAGCCUCUCAAAAUGCUGGGAUUACAGGCGUGAGCCACCACGCCCAGCUGCAUUAUUUUUUUUUUUUAAUUCAACAACUUUGUAUAUUUUUGGAUACAAAUACAAAGUUAUAUCAUGCUUUCAAGAUAUUCUUUUACUAAUUCUCAGAACAAUGCAAGGCAUAAAUAUUGUGCACACUCAUGCCUACUUGUGUGAUCCUGAGUUUAAUAGAAGAAAGGAUAGAAACCAGCUUGGCUUAUACAUUUUUUAAAAUAUUAUUUGGCUCAUUUUCCCUAAAAACAUCAAGAAAGGAAUUGCCACAUGCCUAAUUGAAAAGAUAUGCUUAGUGGUAAGGAUAUAUAUACAUCAACUUUUAAGAGGUUUAAAAAAAAAACUCCUCCCAUUGUAACAGUUUAUAGUUCACCACAUACUACUAAAACAACCCAUAAACCAUGAGUGCAUUAUCAGGAGUGACAGGAGGGUAAGUCGACCGAUGUGAAAUUUACCUUGUAGGCAAUUGACAUUCUGCGGUGUAUGGCAACUGGUCAUGAGCAGUACAAAGAAUUUAAAAGGAUCCAAUAUCUCAAUAUGUUGAAACAAACUGUAUCACUUGGAUCCAUCAAUAUCAUUUUCCAUGGUUAGCUUUUGUUUGUUUUUAGUUAUUUAUUUAUUUUUGAGACGGAGUCUCGCUCUGUCCCCCAGGCUGGAGUGCAGUGGCAUGAUCUCAGCUCACUGCAACCUCCACCUCCCGGCUUCAAGAGAUUCUCCUGCCUCAGCCUCCACAGUAGCUGGGAUCAUAGGCAUGUGCCACUACGCCUGGCUAAUUUUUGUAUUUUUUUGGUAGAGACGGGGUUUCACCAUGUUGGUCAGGCUGGUCUCAAACCCCUGACCUCAAGUGAUCCGCCCGCCGC